Molecule: long non-coding RNA, 1720 nt
Organism: Patiria miniata (bat star)
Lineage: Eukaryota; Metazoa; Echinodermata; Asteroidea; Valvatida; Asterinidae
Exons: 4
Source: RefSeq, a predicted model, not a curated record
CCAAUGCAUUCGUGACCUUGAAUAGCCUGCAGGCUUUCUUCGUGUUUUACACCAGUUUGUUGGAAGAAGACAAAUCUUACUUGGAAGAAGACGUUGCUACGAAGUUACACACGACAGUGGACUCGGGCACAAUAUCAGUUAAGGAAUGAUAAACUCAACGUGGUUCAACCACAGUGCGAGCAGUCGGAAGUUGGUGCCUUACAGAGAUGGUCUUGAGACAACUUAAUUUCGGUUUAUACAUUAUGUUUACCUAUAUAACCAAUAGGGUCGAUAAGCACAAGUUUCUGUAUAAAAGCAAUUCACAUACAGUGGGCCGCCUUUUAAUAAGACGCCACUUACCGCCCCCUUUUCAACUUUACGAUCGACACCGUUAUGAAAAUAUUACCAUUUGGUUGAUCAUUUGUUUUUAUACAAAACCUGAGCAAAUCCCCGUCAUCCGAUUGGUGGAUCGUUGAUCACAUGUCGUUGAAUUAUUCGUCCCCACGCACUGCGCGGCCGCAAAGCAAAAAUACAAGUUCUACAGCACGGUGAAUUGAACUUACAUUGCACGAUUUCAUUACUGUCGGCGGUGGCGCUGUAACACGAAUCCAAUUUUCAGAGUGGUAAAUUGGCGGAAGAUACGCGAGAAUCUCGGUGUGGUUUCCAAAUAGAAGAGGAAAUAUCAGAACUCAAUCGUAGGUGAUUCUGACGCUGCUAACACAAACAAGCACAUAAGAUAUGCUGCCAAACGAUUAGAAUAGAAAUGGGGAAGUUCUGAACUUUUCGAGAACAGUUUCUAAAAUACACAAAUUGGAUAUGAAAGUUCUGAACUUAGUUGUGAAACUUUUUUAACCGAGAUAAAUUGAAUAAUGAUAGGCUAGUUCAGAACGUCUUGAACAGAUUUUUAAUAAAUCGGAUAUUGGAAGUGAACCGCCAGUUAUUGCCAUCUGAAAAAGUAGAACAUUGAUGUAGGUACCAGUUUACCAAACAAUCAGAUAACAAGGAUUUAUGCAGGUGUUAUAUAAAACAAAUAAUACAUGUUUCAAAUUCGUGCAAUGGAAAAAAUAAUUUCAUUCGGUGACAGAUGUAUGUUGCAUUCCACGCGCCUUCGCCUCGUAGAAUGGAACAUUCAUCUCUCACCUCAUGAAAUUAUUCUUACCAUUGCACUCACUAACAUUCAUUGUUUGUAUACCAUUAUUCAAGCGCGGUACUUAUUAAGUCACAAUGCUUUUGGAAGCAUUGUGAAAACUCGUUAUUCACAGAUAGAAUGAACCUGGAACCAUGCGUGUGCAAGGACAAAACGCAGCCCGUUGAAUACUUAACAUGCCCGCAAUUAUUUCCAAGUGGCGCACUGCACCGUGAAUUGCCCAUUAUUGAAGAAAUAUCAAAAAAUGAACAAGUUUAUUUCAAUAUAAAUGUAUAUAUGCUGUAAGUAUUUUAAUGUUGCUGCUUUGCUGAUGUUUUUUUUUUCUGUUGGAAUCCGACGAGUAAUUACUAUGUAUAUUUUCUUCAACUACAAGGUAUAAUGUAGCGCCUUUAGCACUAAUGUGUUGGUGGAUACGUGCGCUUUUAAAAUGACAAUAAUUAUAACAAUAAUGAGUGUUAUUAUUAUCGUCCAUUACCACCCAGUAUCAAGCAAUGAGAUGGAAUUCAAAUCAAGGGUGAACAGGGAAACUGAAGAACAAAGGAUUAUUCAAAGACCAGACUAUAUUUAAGGAGGCCUUAACCCUAAAGGGGCCGG